Mauremys reevesii (Reeves's turtle) is the source of this 455-nucleotide long non-coding RNA. RefSeq lists it as uncharacterized. The record is from RefSeq and is a predicted model, not a curated record. NCBI's taxonomy places the organism in Eukaryota, Metazoa, Chordata, Testudines, Geoemydidae. The transcript has 3 exons.
GAUCAGAGCACAGCUACAAGGAGCACGAAGACCCUGCUAGUGACCCAGGGAAGGCAAGGAGGGCAGCAGAGGGGGUUUCCUUGCUGACCUCUCUGAGCCAGGGAGGGCUAAAAACGGGCUGAGCUCCAGCUAGGAAGGGCCGGGACAGGUGAUGAGCUCCAGGACCAGCUGAGGACACCAGAGCUGGAGCAGGGUGCAGCAUUCGCUUGUUUGAAGGAUACUUGAAAACAACACAUGGAGGAGAUUGCCAGUGUGUCCAGAGAGGGGAAGACCCUGCUGGUGUGCGCUCCCAAGUGCUCAGAACUUGAUUGAAUCAACAGAACAUUGAGAAGUUUCCACUGCAAGCAGGAAACGGAUCUCCAAGACACCAAAAAUCUGCUACCACUUGGCCAAGGGGCAACAAUAGGAAGCCAGAGGAUUUGUCGGGUUGGUAUUGGAGGAACCUGUUACAAGAU